AUGGCAACUCCAAGAGCACCAGCAUCCCGCUGGAAUCAGGAAUCAAGCCCACAGGGAAGCGCUGAGCACAUAAGGACUUCCCCUCGCCAUGCUGCAGAAAGCCUUUGCUCCGCAUUCCUGAGAGCUCAUCACCUCAUCAGUAUUUUCCUUAUCAGUUACAUAAUUGAGAAGGCGCAGAGUCACACCGCCGGGGAGAAGUUAUUAGAUGCCACCCCUCCGCAGAGCGGCGAGAUGAGUGCUGUUUAUCACUGCUGGCAGGUUACAGAUACGGCGGGCCCGUACCACUCUGCAGGCACCCAGGCACCGCACGCGGGUGCUGCUCCACGCCUGGGGUCUGCUUACACAGCACAGGGCAGGGAUGCCAUGCUAACAACGCGCUAUAAAUACCCGACAGCUGGGGACCUAAAGGAAAUGAAGCUCCUUCUUGUUGUUUCCCAAAGAAGCUGCCUUUCCAGAGCCCGGUUUGGCGGUGCUCCCUGGGAUGAUGCUUGCCCUGCGCCCCGGUGCUUUCAGCAUAAUCAGGCCCCGAGCGUUCACGUGGGGAUCUCUGCUGCUGCUUCUCUGCUUCAAAGAGAUCUGGGGAGGGAGACUGAAGGGGAACAGGGCAGGAACAUCUGGCAGCUGCUGGGAGAACCAGCAGCCACAUUUGGAGGACAGGAUGGCCAGGCUCACCCCCAGCAGGGGCAGCCCACGAACAGCUCCAGCUCAAAAACCACAUCGUGCAUUCCCCCAUCAGCUCCAGGGACAGCCCUGCUGCCCAGAAACAGCCCCAGGAUGCACCCCACACAGCCCUCCUGCUGCCCAGGUAACACAGCUCCAUGCUUACCUUUCCUCAAGCACAUCUGUGCGCAACCAGCAUGCACAGAGCACAAUUACGAAGCAAAUCUGCACAUCCCAGUGCCAUCAGAGCUGACAUAGCACAGGCUCUGGCUGCAGCAGAGGAUAUUUCCAUGCACUUUCCUCACCGACCCAGGGGACGCCAGCCCUGCACCUUAGGGCCCUUCUGCCAGCCAAGGCUUGUCAAGCAGCACACGCUGCACCACUCGUCACAUACAGGACAGGUGGGCACCGAGCCCCAGCGCACAGCCCAGCUCCCGCUUGUCUGCACACCAGGGAAAACACAGGCAGACAGCAUAACCCCCAGACCUCCAGCUUCUAAAGCAGCAGGGGCUGGGGAGCUGCCCUCCUG
RNAcentral lists this long non-coding RNA (1189 nucleotides) under Anser brachyrhynchus (Pink-footed goose). Its description in RNAcentral is "lncRNA (ENSABRG00000022953.1)". The record is from RNAcentral. Lineage: Eukaryota; Metazoa; Chordata; Aves; Anseriformes; Anatidae.